This 24-nucleotide microRNA is filed under the name Gossypium raimondii (Peruvian cotton). Its description in RNAcentral is "gra-miR8736". Lineage: Eukaryota; Viridiplantae; Streptophyta; Magnoliopsida; Malvales; Malvaceae. The record is from miRBase by way of RNAcentral.
GUGGAACGUGUUAAGAGAGGAAUA